AGUGGCGGACGGGUGAGUAACGCGUGAGAAUCUGCCUUGGGGUCGGGGACAACCACUGGAAACGGUGGCUAAUACCGGAUAAGCCGAUUGGUGAAAGAUUUAUUGCCCGAAGAGGAGCUCGCGUCUGAUUAGCUAGUUGGUGAGGUAAGAGCUCACCAAGGCAGCGAUCAGUAGCUGGUCUGAGAGGACGAUCAGCCACACUGGGACUGAGACACGGCCCAGACUCCUACUGGAGGCAGCAGUGGGGAAUUUUCCGCAAUGGGCGAAAGCCUGACGGAGCAAGACCGCGUGAGGGAGGAAGGCUCUUGGGUUGUAAACCUCUUUUCUCAGGGAAGAAGCUCUGACGGUACCUGAGGAAUCAGCCUCGGCUAACUCCGUGCCAGCAGCCGCGGUAAUACGGAGGAGGCAAGCGUUAUCCGGAAUUAUUGGGCGUAAAGCGUCCGCAGGUGGCGAUUCAAGUCUGCUGUCAAAGCACGGGGCUUAACUCCGUAAAGGCAGUGGAAACUGAAUAGCUAGAGUGCCGUAGGGGUAGAGGGAAUUCCCGGUGUAGCGGUGAAAUGCGUAGAGAUCGGGAAGAACAUCGGUGGCGAAAGCGCUCUACUGGACGGCAACUGGCACUCAGGGACGAAAGCUAGGGGAGCGAAUGGGAUUAGAUACCCC
This 660-nucleotide ribosomal RNA is filed under the name uncultured bacterium. RNAcentral describes it as "bacterial SSU rRNA". It matches the Rfam family "Bacterial small subunit ribosomal RNA", at positions 94 to 788 of the family's 1533-position model. The record is from RNAcentral.